CAGAGGGGGCAAGCGUUGUUCGGAAUUACUGGGCGUAAAGGGCGCGUAGGCGGCCUGCUAAGUCGAACGUGAAAUCCCCGGGCUCAACCCGGGAACUGCGUCCGAUACUGGCAGGCUUGAAUCCGGGAGAGGGAUGUGGAAUUCCAGGUGUAGCGGUGAAAUGCGUAGAUAUCUGGAGGAACACCGGUGGCGAAGGCGGCAUCCUGGACCGGUAUUGACGCUGAUGCGCGAAAGCCAGGGGAGCAAACGGGAUUAGAUACCCCGGUAGUCCUGGCCCUAAACGAUGAAUGCUUGGUGUGGCGGGUAUCGAUCCCCGCCGUGCCGAAGCUAACGCAUUAAGCAUUCCGCCUGGGGAGUACGGUCGCAAGGCUG
RNAcentral lists this ribosomal RNA (372 nucleotides) under uncultured organism. Its description in RNAcentral is "bacterial SSU rRNA". It matches the Rfam family "Bacterial small subunit ribosomal RNA", at positions 526 to 896 of the family's 1533-position model. The record is from RNAcentral.